This 76-nucleotide transfer RNA is filed under the name Parcubacteria group bacterium. Its description in RNAcentral is "tRNA-Cys". It matches the Rfam family "tRNA". Rfam says of the family: Transfer RNA (tRNA) molecules are approximately 80 nucleotides in length. Their secondary structure includes four short double-helical elements and three loops (D, anti-codon, and T loops). The record is from RNAcentral.
GGCCACGUAGCCAAGUAGCUAAGGCGGCGCUCUGCAAAAGCGCUAUACGUGAGUGCAAAUCUCGCCGUGGCCUCAA